Long non-coding RNA from Amphiprion ocellaris (clown anemonefish), 1050 nucleotides. The record is from Ensembl. Lineage: Eukaryota; Metazoa; Chordata; Actinopteri; Pomacentridae.
UACAAUAUUAUUUAUUUAAAUUUACAUCAUUAUAAUAUUUAGGGUCAGACCCUACAGUAUUGAGAUUAAGAAAUCAAAUAUUCUAUAAAAUGUAAAUACACUGAACUCAUUUGGAUAUAUUUAAGUGAGACUCUACAAUAUUAUUUAUGACACAAAUCUAUCUAAAUCCAAAUUUUAAUCAUGUUUACUCCAAACAUUUACUGGACUGAUUUAAAUAUUAAAAUCACUCCUUUCUAAUCCUCUGCUGUACGUUCAAACCUGAGGCCUUAAAUAGAAACACACAAGUAUCUGAUUGAAGGAACUUCUGCAGAGUCCUGGUUCCAGAACAUGAUGAUAGAAUUAUAGACAAACUUUAACAAAAGCUGCCUGAGAGUUUACAGGUUUUUAUGUUAGAUUUCUUCACUAAUUUAAUGAGUUAUCAGCAAAAAUCAAGUGUUUAUUUGAUGAACUUCAUUUCCUAAAACAUCCAGAAUUGGAGCUCAUAUCUUUGGCAGCUGUAAAGUUUCUGCUCCUUCAAAGUUCACAACACAAUGAAUGAAUUCCUAAAACACUCUCAAUGCUGGAGAGCGUUUGAUGCUGAAGCAGUGAUCAGUUUUUCUGUUUCUUCUCUGGAGAUGCACAAUGAGGGACGUCUGCAGAGACUGAGAAAGAGUCUCACCACAUCCUGACAUGAGGAAAAAGACUUUAUUGAAGACUACAAUGAGAAAAACUAUCCAAACAGCAGACGGCUGCAUUCAAGUCUGUAGCUGCUGAAUUCAUGGAUGAAUCAUCUGGCACUAGAGAGGAAGACCAUCAAACAUCCACAUCAGCUGAUGGAGGUCCAAGAGUCUCACCAAACAACCAACCCACAGAGUGAAGACCUCCAAUCUGAUUGGACGGCCUCCUAUUCAGCCACGUGUGAACAAAUGCCUCUAAGCUGAUUUGUUUUCUAAAAUAAAUCUAGUUUGAAUCCUAAUCUAUGCCUGAGUGUUUGCUUCUUUACACCGCUGUUAACAGUUUAGGCUGUUAGAUUGUUCCAGAUACGACAAGUACAAGAUACACUAUAUUGCC